CUACGGGGCGCUCCAGUGAGGAAUAUUGCACAAUGGGGGGAACCCUGAUGCAGCAACGCCGCGUGGAGGAUGACGCAUUUCGGUGUGUAAACUCCUUUUAUAUGUCAAGAAAAUGACGGUAGCAUAUGAAUAAGCACCGGCUAACUCCGUGCCAGCAGCCGCGGUAAUACGGAGGGUGCAAGCGUUACUCGGAAUCACUGGGCGUAAAGGACGCGUAGGCGGGUUGGAAAGUCAGGUGUGAAAUCCUACAGCUUAACUGUAGAACUGCGCUUGAAACUUCUAAUCUAGAGUAUGGGAGGGGGAGAUGGAAUUAGUGGUGUAGGGGUAAAAUCCGUAGAUAUCACUAGGAAUACCUAAGGCGAAGGCGAUCUCCUGGAACAUUACUGACGCUAAGGCGUGAAAGCGUGGGGAGCAAACAGGAUUAGAUACCCGGGUAGUC
Molecule: ribosomal RNA, 439 nt
Filed under: uncultured bacterium
Lineage: Bacteria
Description: partial 16S ribosomal RNA
Rfam family: Bacterial small subunit ribosomal RNA
Source: RNAcentral